AUCAGUUUGUUUUAUCUUUCUCCAGUUUAUUAUGAUAAUACGAAACAGCUGCUUUUUAAAACCUUAUGGAGCACCUGUAUAUGUAAUCAUAUUGAAUAAAUCAUUAUUAAUAAAAAUAGGUGUAUCUGUGUAUAGUAUCUCUCUUGGUAGUUGAUGCUUCCUGGUCUCCUAUUAGUGAUAAAGAUGGUUUUACAUUACAAAGGAGCACCUUCUAUACUAGAGUUACACAAAACGGAAUCAGAUAUUCUUGUACUUUAGCAAGAUUUAGGAUCUUGAUGUCAACAUUUAGAGUGUGGGGAAACUGAGAUAGAGAGAUCUCUGUCUAGUUUAUGGAGCACAAGCUUCUAGAUAUCUUAUAUCUCAGGAGACAUGUGAUAUACAUAUACACAUGCUGUUGUGGUCAUUUUAAUAAAAUUAAAUUUUAAGGCAAUUAUGGUUUACACAGCCUGUGGAUUAUUAUCAUCAUCUUUGAUAUUAUGUAAUUUAUUGGCUGAUGGAAGAAGUUCACUCGUUUAAACAAGCAGUACAGUUUAUGUGUUAUCUCUUUUAAAUCUCCUUCCUUCCCUAGUCUUCCCCCCUCUCUCUCUCUAUCCCCUCAAGCUUCCCCUCUCUCUCUGUCCUCUCCUUGUUUCAACUGCAGGCACUCAUAAAGAUGUACUUGACAGUAGUUCCAAUGUUGAAUGAUGUAUUUAAAUAUGUUUGAUCACACAAAUAUUGUUCAAUUACAGUUUGAUGUCUGUCUUUGAUGAUUGCAUCACAAGUUGGUCUGGAAGUGAAAGUAUGUACAAAUCUAUGUAUAGUUGAGUAGAGUCAGAACUAUAGUGGAGUUACAUAGUUCUGUAUCCCAUGAAAUACAAUUUGUACCAUUUCUUGUAAGUACAUCAUUUGUGGAAUUUCAGUUGCACUAUAGUUUAGUAAAAUAAGACUAAAAAUGGCAAGUGAUGAAAGAAAAGCUCAUGUGUUAUUAUGGUAACCAUUUUGUAUAACUUGGCAAUGUAUUAAAGUUGUGGUUUAUACUGAUGUGGUGUAAUGAUGAUGCAACUGCAUAGAAACUGAUGCUGAAUGUGGUUUUAUGAGUGUAACUAGGAACUUCUUUCCUCCCGGUAGACUGGUACUUUGUGAUGUUUGUUUUUGUGUUUUGACUAACGUUUACUGUUUGUGGUACCUAUCAGUUAAAACACACAGUUGUGGGCGACUAGUCGUGGUUUCAACUUAUGAGUUCUCUCUGGAUCCAUCUCUCUCCUAUCUUUAUCACCCUCAGGAGAGAAAUUGAGACGGAGCGAGCGUUACAAGCUUUGAUGCUGCUCGGAAACAGGAAAGUGCCCCCAUGCUGAGCCAGUAAACAUAUCUAUAAGCUGCUAAAAGCAUUAAUUGAAAUGAGUGUAAUGGAAUAGAGGUAUUGUGUAUCACUGAUAACAGUUAGGUGAGGUCAGACAUGUGCUUAAACUACAGCACUGCUUUAUACACAACAU
Amphimedon queenslandica is the source of this 1472-nucleotide long non-coding RNA. RefSeq lists it as uncharacterized. The record is from RefSeq and is a predicted model, not a curated record. The transcript has 3 exons. Lineage: Eukaryota; Metazoa; Porifera; Demospongiae; Haplosclerida; Niphatidae.